Molecule: ribosomal RNA, 406 nt
Filed under: uncultured bacterium
Lineage: Bacteria
Description: partial 16S ribosomal RNA
Rfam family: Bacterial small subunit ribosomal RNA
Source: RNAcentral
GGCGAACGCUGGCGGCGUGCUUAACACAUGCAAGUCGAACGAGUGGCGAACGGGUGAGUAAUACGUGAGUAACUGCCUGUUAGAGGGGGAUAACUAUUGGAAACGAUAGCUAAUACCGCAUACUAGUAGAUGGACCUGCGUUGUAGUAGCCAGUAGGUAGGGUAAUGGCCUACCUAGGCAACGAUACAUAGCCGACCUGGGAGGGGGGUAUGCCAAAAGUGGAAUGAGACACCGGCCAGACUCCUACGGGAGGCAGGAGGAAGAGAUCUUCGGGAAUGGGGGGAACCCUGACCGGGGAAAGCCGCGUGAGUGAAGAAGGGUUUCGGAUCGUAAAGCGCUGGUGUUGAGGAAGCGGUACUUAACCAGAAAGGGACGGCUAACUACGUGCCAGCAGCCGCGGUAAUUC